RNAcentral lists this ribosomal RNA (389 nucleotides) under Phataginus tetradactyla (long-tailed pangolin). Its description in RNAcentral is "partial 12S ribosomal RNA". It matches the Rfam family "Bacterial small subunit ribosomal RNA", at positions 796 to 1384 of the family's 1533-position model. The record is from RNAcentral. Lineage: Eukaryota; Metazoa; Chordata; Mammalia; Pholidota; Manidae.
UUAGCCCUAAACCCAAAUAAUUUAUCAAACAAAAUUAUUCGCCAGAGUACUACUAGCAAUAGCCUGAAACUCAAAGGACUUGGCGGUGCUUCAUAUCCCUCUAGAGGAGCCUGUCCUAUAAACGAUAAACCCCGAUAAACCUUACCAGCUCUAGCUAAUACAGCCUAUAUACCGCCAUCCUCAGCAAACCCUGAUAAAGGAAUUGUAGUAAGCAAGAUUGUUAAAAUACAAAAACGUUAGGUCAAGGUGUAGCUUAUGAGCCGGAAAGAGAUGGGCUACAUUUUCUAAAACAGAAAAGACGAAUAUUCUUAUGAUAUUAAAGAAUUAAAGGAGGAUUUAGUAGUAAGCUGAGAAUAGAGAGCUCAACUGAAUUAGGCCCUGAAGCACGC